GCUUAACUUGGGAAUUGCAUUCGAUACUGGGAAGCUAGAGUAUGGGAGAGGAUGGUAGAAUUCCAGGUGUAGCGGUGAAAUGCGUAGAGAUCUGGAGGAAUACCGAUGGCGAAGGCAGCCAUCUGGCCUAAUACUGACGCUGAGGUACGAAAGCAUGGGGAGCAAACAGGAUUAGAUACCCUGGUAGUCCAUGCCGUAAACGAUGUCUACUAGCCGUUGGGGCCUUUGAGGCUUUAGUGGCGCAGCUAACGCGAUAAGUAGACCGCCUGGGGAGUACGGUCGCAAGACUAAAACUCAAAUGAAUUGACGGGGGCCCGCACAAGCGGUGGAGCAUGUGGUUUAAUUCGAUGCAACGCGAAGAACCUUACCUGGCCUUGACAUACUAGAAACUUUCCAGAGAUGGAUUGGUGCCUUCGGGAAUCUAGAUACAGGUGCUGCAUGGCUGUCGUCAGCUCGUGUCGUGAGAUGUUGGGUUAAGUCCCGCAACGAGCGCAACCCUUUUCCUUACUUGCCAGCAUUUCGGAUGGGAACUUUAAGGAUACUGCCAGUGACAAACUGGAGGAAGGCGGGGACGACGUCAAGUCAUCAUGGCCCUUACGGCCAGGGCUACACACGUGCUACAAUGGUCGGUACAAAG
RNAcentral lists this ribosomal RNA (637 nucleotides) under uncultured bacterium. RNAcentral describes it as "bacterial SSU rRNA". It matches the Rfam family "Bacterial small subunit ribosomal RNA", at positions 607 to 1244 of the family's 1533-position model. The record is from RNAcentral.